Molecule: ribosomal RNA, 429 nt
Filed under: Chloroflexota bacterium
Lineage: Bacteria; Bacillati; Chloroflexota
Description: Chloroflexi bacterium partial 16S ribosomal RNA
Rfam family: Bacterial small subunit ribosomal RNA
Source: RNAcentral
UGGGGAAUAUUGCACAAUGGGCGCAAGCCUGAUGCAGCCAUGCCGCGUGUGGGAAGAAGGCCUUCGGGUUGUAAAGCACUUUCAGCGGGGAGGAAGGCGAUAAGGUUAAUAACCUUGUCGAUUGACGUUACCCGCAGAAGAAGCACCGGCUAACUCCGUGCCAGCAGCCGCGGUAAUACGGAGGGUGCAAGCGUUAAUCGGAAUUACUGGGCGUAAAGCGCACGCAGGCGGUUUGUUAAGUCAGAUGUGAAAUCCCCGGGCUCAACCUGGUAACUGCAUCUGAUACUGGCAAGCUUGAGUCUCGUAGAGGGGGGUGGAAUUCCAGGUGUAGCGGUGACAUGCGUAGGGAUCUGGAGGAAUACCGGUGGCGAAGGCGGCCCCCUGGACGGAGACUGACGCUCAGGUGCGAAAGCGUGGGGAGCAAACAGG